UUGGGAUCAUUUUAGGUAUAUGAGAAAUGCAAUUGCGCAUCUUAUAGCCAGCUGCUACUUUGCGGCGGUAUUUCCCGACAUCUCUCAGGUGCAACGGUUUCUGUCCCGUGAGGGAAUACUUGACGAGUUCAUUUGAGUCUAGUCAACUUCAAGGCUUUCAUAGUCAAGUGAGUCAGCUGCUUUCCAAGCUCUCUCUUAGACUGCAAACUCUUGAAUCACAUAAGCUCAAUUUGAAGGUCAUCUUUUAUAAGAUCAUGUCAACAUCUUUUCUCUCCUUUUGCAUAGCUUCUCGAACUAAAGUAAAGGAAAACCGAUGAAAUUAAACUCCAUCUGUGUAUUUCAGGGGAAACCAAAUCCGCAAUGUAAAGUCUUUUUUUUUUUAUUAAAAAAAAAAAAAAAAAAAAAAAAGGGAAAAUCUCAUUGUAAAGUAGUUCAAACAGUGUAUGUUGACUUCAAGGCUUAUAAAUUAUAACCCACAUUCCUCCACCUGCAGAUUCUUAUGGCCCUGCAUAUCAUCAUGAAGAAAGGUCAGUAUUUAUUUAAAUUCUUUUGUUUUUGAUGGUGUAUAUAUUUUGUUUUUGAGAUUGAUAUUUGGAUUGGUAUUUAGACUUGCCACUUGUUCAGCAUGAAAAUAAAAGAAACAGUUGAUGUUUUGGGGAUAGAGUCGUUCUCAAUUUUGCCAUUUUUGUGCUGUACGGUUUAUGUGUAGAUCUUCCUUUCCUCUUCCUCUUUAUUUCCAUUGUAAAUGUGAUUCAAUUUAUUGAUUUUCCUAAUUUGCUUAAUUUUUAUUUUUUUCCCAUGUUUUAUUUUUUAUUUUUUAUUUAAGAUGAAGGAGCAUCGAAAGCCAAUGAAGCCGUGGUGCCACACAGCAGUGAUUUUAGUAGAAGACGAGCAAGUAAUUGUUUUGGGUUUUACAGAUUGUUAAUGCAUGCUACCUCUAGAUAUUCCAUCUUAUGUUACUUAAUAUACAUUAGCUGUUGUUUUUGGGCUGUGGCGAUGGUGGGUGGUGUUUGGGUUCCAAAAUGUUGCUACUUCUAGAGGGAAGAAUUUGUAAGCUUUCAAAUACUCGCUGUUUUAUGGCUGUAUUUUAUUUAUUUAUUUAUUAUUAUAUGUUUCCUUCA
Molecule: long non-coding RNA, 1121 nt
Organism: Cornus florida
Lineage: Eukaryota; Viridiplantae; Streptophyta; Magnoliopsida; Cornales; Cornaceae
Exons: 3
Source: RefSeq, a predicted model, not a curated record